UACGUAGGGGGCGAGCGUUGUCCGGAAUUAUUGGGCGUAAAGAGCGUGUAGGCGGUUCGGUAAGUCUGCCGUGAAAACCUGGGGCUCAACCCCGGGCGUGCGGUGGAUACUGCCGGGCUAGAGGGUGGUAGAGGCGAGUGGAAUUCCCGGUGUAGCGGUGAAAUGCGCAGAUAUCGAGAGGAACACCAGUGGCGAAGGCGACUCUUUGGCCUGUAACUGACGCUGAGGCGCGAAAGUGUGGGGAGCAAACAGG
This 253-nucleotide ribosomal RNA is filed under the name uncultured bacterium. RNAcentral describes it as "partial 16S ribosomal RNA". It matches the Rfam family "Bacterial small subunit ribosomal RNA", at positions 524 to 776 of the family's 1533-position model. The record is from RNAcentral.